This 1372-nucleotide ribosomal RNA is filed under the name uncultured bacterium. Its description in RNAcentral is "bacterial SSU rRNA". It matches the Rfam family "Bacterial small subunit ribosomal RNA". The record is from RNAcentral.
UAGAGUUUGAUCCUGGCUCAGAACGAACGCUGGCGGCGUGGAUAAGACAUGCAAGUCGAACGAGAGAAUUGCUAGCUUGCUAAUAAUUCUCUAGUGGCGCACGGGUGAGUAACACGUGAGUAACCUGCCCCCGAGAGCGGGAUAGCCCUGGGAAACUGGGAUUAACACCGCAUAGUAUCGAAAGAUUAAAGCAGCAAUGCGCUUGGGGAUGGGCUCGCGGCCUAUUAGUUAGUUGGUGAGGUAACGGCUCACCAAGGCGAUGACGGGUAGCCGGUCUGAGAGGAUGUCCGGCCACACUGGAACUGAGACACGGUCCAGACACCUACGGGUGGCAGCAGUCGAGAAUCAUUCACAAUGGGGGAAACCCUGAUGGUGCGACGCCGCGUGGGGGAAUGAAGGUCUUCGGAUUGUAAACCCCUGUCAUGUGGGAGCAAAUUAAAAAGAUAGUACCACAAGAGGAAGAGACGGCUAACUCUGUGCCAGCAGCCGCGGUAAUACAGAGGUCUCAAGCGUUGUUCGGAAUCACUGGGCGUAAAGCGUGCGUAGGCUGUUUCGUAAGUCGUGUGUGAAAGGCGCGGGCUCAACCCGCGGACGGCACAUGAUACUGCGAGACUAGAGUAAUGGAGGGGGAACCGGAAUUCUCGGUGUAGCAGUGAAAUGCGUAGAUAUCGAGAGGAACACUCGUGGCGAAGGCGGGUUCCUGGACAUUAACUGACGCUGAGGCACGAAGGCCAGGGGAGCGAAAGGGAUUAGAUACCCCUGUAGUCCUGGCAGUAAACGGUGCACGCUUGGGUGGGCGGGGAAUCGACCCCCUGCGUGCCGGAGCUAACGCGUUAAGCGUGCCGCCUGGGGAGUACGGUCGCAAGAUUAAAACUCAAAGAAAUUGACGGGGACCCGCACAAGCGGUGGAGUAUGUGGCUUAAUUCGAUGCAACGCGAAGAACCUUACCUGGGCUUGACAUGUAAUGAACAACAUGUGAAAGCAUGCGACUCUUCGGAGGCGUUACACAGGUGCUGCAUGGCCGUCGUCAGCUCGUGUCGUGAGAUGUUUGGUUAAGUCCAGCAACGAGCGCAACCCCUGUUGCCAGUUACCAGCACGUGAAGGUGGGGACUCUGGCGAGACUGCCCAGAUCAACUGGGAGGAAGGUGGGGACGACGUCAGGUCAGUAUGGCCCUUAUGCCCAGGGCUGCACACGUACUACAAUGCCCAGUACAGAGGGGGCCGAAGCCGCGAGGCGGAGGAAAUCCUAAAAACUGGGCCCAGUUCGGACUGUAGGCUGCAACCCGCCUACACGAAGCCGGAAUCGCUAGUAAUGGCGCAUCAGCUACGGCGCCGUGAAUACGUUCCCGGGUCUUGUACACACCGCCCGUCA